UUCUGGCAGAGGGCAAUAGAUUUUACUCAAGAAUUUGACUGUAUUUUGCCCCAUCCAUUUUUCCUUCUAUCCUGACAAGUGCUCCAGUCCUUGCUGGAGAAAAUCACCCCAUAACAGGAUACCACCUCCAUCCUUUACUGUAGGAAUGCUGUUAUUUCGAUGGUGAACUGCAUUGCUGCAACAGAAUGUGAUUUUAAAGCCACGCAAGAGAGUAAGAGGGUGAGCAUUUACAGAGGCUGUAUCGAUCCAGCGACAGGAAGAUUCUGCACGGUUGUGGUUUCACGGCUUCCUGUGUGCUGGGAAGAGCUGCCCACUGGAACAUAGAUCACGCUCUGUGGACUGAGCUUCUGCCUGCUCCAUUGAUCCAGGUUGCCAUGAAUGUGUGCCACAUUCUCAGCUCCUGCUGUGAGGGCCACAGAGAAAGAAACAAACACUGUAAUACAACAGCCCAAAACAAACAAACAAACAGCAUUUUUGUGGUAAUGGCUGUGAUUAAGAGAUAAGGGAAGAAAGAGGGAGAUAAAGGCCUCCCCCAGUGCUGACCUUCAGAAAUGGCACAGCUCUUUCAGUCAGUUGGCGUUCACACACUCCCAGCAUGCAGAGUCAGGAUUAGAGACAGGUGAAAGAUGCUCUCAUUCUGUCAGAGUCUUUAUGCAGAAACAAACUUAAAAACAUCUUAAUAUAUCUAGUUGGUCAAAAGUUCUCACAAACUGACUUCUAAAUCACAAACAAAUGCUAGUGCCUGCAUUAAAUUCAGUUACAAUAUAAUUAUUUACAGUACAGCUAAUGCCACCAUUGAACCUCUGAUUUAUGUUCUAAAACUCCACUGUAACAAUCUGAAGAAUUUUCGUUACUUCCAGUGAAUUUGUUUCUUCACAUUUCUUGUACGAAUAUUCUGUGCAGAAUAAUGACCAUGCAUAGACAAUAAUGCAGCUGACAAGUUCAAGGCCCAGAAAGGUAGUAAGGACAUAGUUAAUAUGCACUCUUAAAAAUAAAGGAUGCCAUAGAAGAACCUUUUUUGUCUUUCUGUUUCACAAAAUGUUCUUUGUGGUGAAAGAAGGUUCUUCAGAUUAAAAAAAGGUAAGAAAGAGAUGGUUCUUUAAAGAACCUUUGAUUGAAUGGAUCUUUGUGGAGCCAAAAAUGGUUCUUCUAUGGCAUCGCUGUGAAGAACCUUUUGAAGCACCUUUAUUUUUAAGAGUGUAAUCCAUGUGACAUCAGUGGUUCAAACCUAAUGUUAAGAAGCUACGAGAAUACUUUUGUGUGCAAGGAAAACAAA
Long non-coding RNA from Cyprinus carpio carpio, 1276 nucleotides. NCBI's taxonomy places the organism in Eukaryota, Metazoa, Chordata, Actinopteri, Cypriniformes, Cyprinidae. The record is from Ensembl.